Molecule: long non-coding RNA, 366 nt
Filed under: Gossypium raimondii (Peruvian cotton)
Lineage: Eukaryota; Viridiplantae; Streptophyta; Magnoliopsida; Malvales; Malvaceae
Description: long non-coding RNA (GRAI_LNC007273)
Source: RNAcentral
GUGUGUGUGCCAGUUGUGUAGUAGAGGUUUAGUGGAAUUGAAAUUCGAAGGCAGUUGGAUGAGGAUCAAAGUGUCGGUUUUGGUGGGAUUGGAUUGUUAGUGAGGUAGUGGGGAGUUAAGAUAUUUUUUAACUUUAUUUUUAUUUUUAUUUUGUUUCCUAAAAUUCCUCUUCUUCCUGACAUUUUUUCUUUUUCUUUUCUCUGCAAAUCCCUUUUGUUUCUUCCUUUGAUUCUAUUCACAAAUCAUUCGUUUGAAUCACUGCGAUUCGAAUUUCUCGAUUUUCUUCGUUUGGCUUAGAGAAGAUUGAGAACCAGUGGAUUUUACUCCAACGACCUAAUUUGUGGGUGUGAUUGCUAUUCAUUGGCG